CUGAUGCGCCAUGUCAGACCUAGGCGUGCUGACUUUGCUUCUGUGCAUGCAGGGAAGGGAACAGAAAAGAGCCAUGAGUUAAAACUGGAUUUUCUGUUCCUAAUUUAUGCCAUGAGAGCCUUGACUACAACUUAAUUGGGAGCUCCAAAAUGGUGGAGAAAUAGCUACUGAGGUACGCAGUGCUGGCAGAAAGCUGGAGUCAGGAACUGCAAUCCAAAAGGCUUCAGAAAAUCAAUGUGCUGAAUGAAGGAGGAGCUGAACCAAAUCGUUUCCCACCAAGUGGCAUAGAAAGA
This 293-nucleotide long non-coding RNA is filed under the name Mustela putorius furo (domestic ferret). RNAcentral's name for it is "lncRNA (ENSMPUG00000030683.1)". The record is from RNAcentral. Lineage: Eukaryota; Metazoa; Chordata; Mammalia; Carnivora; Mustelidae.